UUUACCCGCCAAACCUUGACACUCCUUUCCUUACCGUAAUCUCGCACCUCUGUUUCCGUUCAAACAUCUUUCUGGUUUCUAGACUGAAUGCCUGCUCCAAAAAAUACAUUAAAUAUCGCCAACAAAUUGGAAUUAAGGAUCAAUUGUCUUUUUAAUUAUGAACAAGAAUUUUUCAUGGUUGUUACUUCAGCUGAAUUACUAAACGCUGGCCUGAUGAUGGUUCCACUGUAAACCGAAAUCGAUCGCCGAAGUAUAAAUAUAUAAAUCAUAUAGUGUGUUUUUCCACCCAUCCUUUAAAUACCAUACACACUGAUGGAAGAAUUUAUUAGUAAAAUUUCAAAU
Coccinella septempunctata (seven-spotted ladybird) is the source of this 342-nucleotide long non-coding RNA. RefSeq lists it as uncharacterized. The transcript is spliced from 2 exons. The record is from RefSeq and is a predicted model, not a curated record. NCBI's taxonomy places the organism in Eukaryota, Metazoa, Arthropoda, Insecta, Coleoptera, Coccinellidae.